UGGGGGAUAUUGCACAAUGGGCGAAAGCCUGAUGCAGCGACGCCGCGUGUGGGAAGACGGUCUUCGGAUUGUAAACCACUGGCUUUGGGGACGAUAAUGACGGUACCCAAGGAGGAAGCUCCGGCUAACUUCGUGCCAGCAGCCGCGGUAAUACGAAGGGGGCAAGCGUUGUUCGGAAUUACUGGGCGUAAAGCGCACGCAGGCGGCGUGACGCGUCAGAAGUGAAAUCCCCGGGCUCAACCUGGGAACUGCUUUUGAAACGGUCAUGCUUGAAUCAUGGAGAGGGUAGCGGAAUUCCGAGUGUAGAGGUGAAAUUCGUAGAUAUUAGGAGGAACACCAGUGGCGAAGGCGACUUUCUGGACUGUAACUGACACUGAGGCUCGAAAGCUAGGGGAGCGAACG
Molecule: ribosomal RNA, 402 nt
Filed under: uncultured bacterium
Lineage: Bacteria
Description: bacterial SSU rRNA
Rfam family: Bacterial small subunit ribosomal RNA
Source: RNAcentral